This 468-nucleotide ribosomal RNA is filed under the name uncultured bacterium. Its description in RNAcentral is "partial 16S ribosomal RNA". It matches the Rfam family "Bacterial small subunit ribosomal RNA", at positions 28 to 507 of the family's 1533-position model. The record is from RNAcentral.
GACGAACGCUGGCGGCGUGCCUAACACAUGCAAGUCGAACGGAAAGGCCCUGCUUUUGUGGGGUGCUCGAGUGGCGAACGGGUGAGUUACCUGUGAGUACCCUGCCCUUGACUUUGGGAUAACUUCAGGCAGCUGGGGCUAAUACCGGAUAGGAGCUCCUGCUGCUUGGUGGGGGUUGGACAGUUUCGGCGGUUGGGGAUGGACUGGCGGCUUAUCAGCUUGUUGGUGGGGUAGUGGCUUACCCAGGCUUUGACGGGUAGCCGGCCUGAGAGGGUGACCGGCCACAUUGGGACUGAGAUACGGCCCAGACUCCUACGGUAGGCAGCGGUGGAGAAUAUUGCACAGUGGGCGGAAGCCUGAUGCAGCAACGCCGCGUGCGGGAAGACGGCCUGCGGGUUGUAAACCGCAUUCACCUGUGACGAAGCGUGAGUGACGGUAACGGGAGAAGAAGCACCGGCUAACUACGUG